RNAcentral lists this small RNA (101 nucleotides) under Arabidopsis thaliana (thale cress). RNAcentral's name for it is "ATSL012040". The record is from RNAcentral. Lineage: Eukaryota; Viridiplantae; Streptophyta; Magnoliopsida; Brassicales; Brassicaceae.
GAAACAAAAGAAGAAACAGUGAUAUUAGCCAAAUACAGUAAGAGCAGAAGACCUGAAUAAACAAUUAGCUAUGGAAAUCUUACAGGUUCUUGAAUACUAUU